This 554-nucleotide ribosomal RNA is filed under the name fungal sp. BLH 110. Its description in RNAcentral is "eukaryotic LSU rRNA". The stretch from base 194 to 347 matches the Rfam family "5.8S ribosomal RNA". Lineage: Eukaryota; Fungi. The record is from RNAcentral.
GAACCUGCGGAGGGAUCAUUACUGAGUUUACGCUCUAUAACCCUUUGUGAACAUACCUAUAACUGUUGCUUCGGCGGGUAGGGUCUCCGUGACCCUCCCGGCCUCCCGCCCCCGGGCGGGUCGGCGCCCGCCGGAGGAUAACCAAACUCUGAUUUAACGACGUUUCUUCUGAGUGGUACAAGCAAAUAAUCAAAACUUUUAACAACGGAUCUCUUGGUUCUGGCAUCGAUGAAGAACGCAGCGAAAUGCGAUAAGUAAUGUGAAUUGCAGAAUUCAGUGAAUCAUCGAAUCUUUGAACGCACAUUGCGCCCGCCAGCAUUCUGGCGGGCAUGCCUGUUCGAGCGUCAUUUCAACCCUCAAGCUCUGCUUGGUGUUGGGGCCCUACAGCUGAUGUAGGCCCUCAAAGGUAGUGGCGGACCCUCCCGGAGCCUCCUUUGCGUAGUAACUUUACGUCUCGCACUGGGAUCCGGAGGGACUCUUGCCGUAAAACCCCCAAUUUUCCAAAGGUUGACCUCGGAUCAGGUAGGAAUACCCGCUGAACUUAAGCAUAUCAU